GAUGAACGCUAGCUACAGGCUUAACACAUGCAAGUCGAGGGGCAGCAUGAACUUAGCUUGCUAAGUUUGAUGGCGACCGGCGCACGGGUGAGUAACACGUAUCCAACCUGCCGAUGACUCGGGGAUAGCCUUUCGAAAGAAAGAUUAAUACCCGAUGGCAUAGUUCUUCCGCAUGGUAGAACUAUUAAAGAACUUCGGUCAUCGAUGGGGAUGCGUUCCAUUAGGUUGUUGGCGGGGUAACGGCCCACCAAGCCUUCGAUGGAUAGGGGUUCUGAGAGGAAGGCCCCCCACAUUGGAACUGAGACACGGUCCAAACUCCUACGGGAGGCUG
RNAcentral lists this ribosomal RNA (331 nucleotides) under uncultured Bacteroidota bacterium. RNAcentral's name for it is "bacterial SSU rRNA". It matches the Rfam family "Bacterial small subunit ribosomal RNA", at positions 28 to 351 of the family's 1533-position model. Lineage: Bacteria; Pseudomonadati; Bacteroidota. The record is from RNAcentral.